RNAcentral lists this unclassified non-coding RNA (292 nucleotides) under uncultured Helotiaceae. RNAcentral describes it as "sequence contains ITS1". The stretch from base 1 to 105 matches the Rfam family "5.8S ribosomal RNA", at positions 50 to 154 of the family's 154-position model. The record is from RNAcentral. Lineage: Eukaryota; Fungi; Ascomycota; Leotiomycetes; Helotiales; Helotiaceae.
GAAAUGCGAUAAGUAAUGUGAAUUGCAGAAUUCAGUGAAUCAUCGAAUCUUUGAACGCACAUUGCGCCCCCUGGCAUUCCGGGGGGCAUGCCUGUUCGAGCGUCAUUAACACCACUCAAGCUCUGCUUGGUCCUGGGCCGCGCCAGCAAUGGCUGUCCCCAAACUCAGUGGCGGCACCGCUAGGUCCCGAGCGUAGUACAUCUCUCGCUGCGGGCGCUGGCGGCUGGCGACCAGCAACCCCAACUCACACCAGGUUGACCUCGGAUCAGGUAGGAAUACCCGCUGAACUUAA